RNAcentral lists this ribosomal RNA (2893 nucleotides) under Escherichia coli. RNAcentral's name for it is "bacterial LSU rRNA". It matches the Rfam family "Bacterial large subunit ribosomal RNA". Lineage: Bacteria; Pseudomonadati; Pseudomonadota; Gammaproteobacteria; Enterobacterales; Enterobacteriaceae. The record is from RNAcentral.
ACUAAGCGUACACGGUGGAUGCCCUGGCAGUCAGAGGCGAUGAAGGACGUGCUAAUCUGCGAUAAGCGUCGGUAAGGUGAUAUGAACCGUUAUAACCGGCGAUUUCCGAAUGGGGAAACCCAGUGUGAUUCGUCACACUAUCAUUAACUGAAUCCAUAGGUUAAUGAGGCGAACCGGGGGAACUGAAACAUCUAAGUACCCCGAGGAAAAGAAAUCAACCGAGAUUCCCCCAGUAGCGGCGAGCGAACGGGGAGCAGCCCAGAGCCUGAAUCAGUGUGUGUGUUAGUGGAAGCGUCUGGAAAGGCGUGCGAUACAGGGUGACAGCCCCGUACACAAAAAUGCACAUGCUGUGAGCUCGAUGAGUAGGGCGGGACACGUGGUAUCCUGUCUGAAUAUGGGGGGACCAUCCUCCAAGGCUAAAUACUCCUGACUGACCGAUAGUGAACCAGUACCGUGAGGGAAAGGCGAAAAGAACCCCGGCGAGGGGAGUGAAAAAGAACCUGAAACCGUGUACGUACAAGCAGUGGGAGCACGCUUAGGCGUGUGACUGCGUACCUUUUGUAUAAUGGGUCAGCGACUUAUAUUCUGUAGCAAGGUUAACCGAAUAGGGGAGCCGAAGGGAAACCGAGUCUUAACUGGGCGUUAAGUUGCAGGGUAUAGACCCGAAACCCGGUGAUCUAGCCAUGGGCAGGUUGAAGGUUGGGUAACACUAACUGGAGGACCGAACCGACUAAUGUUGAAAAAUUAGCGGAUGACUUGUGGCUGGGGGUGAAAGGCCAAUCAAACCGGGAGAUAGCUGGUUCUCCCCGAAAGCUAUUUAGGUAGCGCCUCGUGAAUUCAUCUCCGGGGGUAGAGCACUGUUUCGGCAAGGGGGUCAUCCCGACUUACCAACCCGAUGCAAACUGCGAAUACCGGAGAAUGUUAUCACGGGAGACACACGGCGGGUGCUAACGUCCGUCGUGAAGAGGGAAACAACCCAGACCGCCAGCUAAGGUCCCAAAGUCAUGGUUAAGUGGGAAACGAUGUGGGAAGGCCCAGACAGCCAGGAUGUUGGCUUAGAAGCAGCCAUCAUUUAAAGAAAGCGUAAUAGCUCACUGGUCGAGUCGGCCUGCGCGGAAGAUGUAACGGGGCUAAACCAUGCACCGAAGCUGCGGCAGCGACGCUGAUGCGUUGUUGGGUAGGGGAGCGUUCUGUAAGCCUGCGAAGGUGUGCUGUGAGGCAUGCUGGAGGUAUCAGAAGUGCGAAUGCUGACAUAAGUAACGAUAAAGCGGGUGAAAAGCCCGCUCGCCGGAAGACCAAGGGUUCCUGUCCAACGUUAAUCGGGGCAGGGUGAGUCGACCCCUAAGGCGAGGCCGAAAGGCGUAGUCGAUGGGAAACAGGUUAAUAUUCCUGUACUUGGUGUUACUGCGAAGGGGGGACGGAGAAGGCUAUGUUGGCCGGGCGACGGUUGUCCCGGUUUAAGCGUGUAGGCUGGUUUUCCAGGCAAAUCCGGAAAAUCAAGGCUGAGGCGUGAUGACGAGGCACUACGGUGCUGAAGCAACAAAUGCCCUGCUUCCAGGAAAAGCCUCUAAGCAUCAGGUAACAUCAAAUCGUACCCCAAACCGACACAGGUGGUCAGGUAGAGAAUACCAAGGCGCUUGAGAGAACUCGGGUGAAGGAACUAGGCAAAAUGGUGCCGUAACUUCGGGAGAAGGCACGCUGAUAUGUAGGUGAAGCGACUUGCUCGUGGAGCUGAAAUCAGUCGAAGAUACCAGCUGGCUGCAACUGUUUAUUAAAAACACAGCACUGUGCAAACACGAAAGUGGACGUAUACGGUGUGACGCCUGCCCGGUGCCGGAAGGUUAAUUGAUGGGGUCAGCGCAAGCGAAGCUCUUGAUCGAAGCCCCGGUAAACGGCGGCCGUAACUAUAACGGUCCUAAGGUAGCGAAAUUCCUUGUCGGGUAAGUUCCGACCUGCACGAAUGGCGUAAUGAUGGCCAGGCUGUCUCCACCCGAGACUCAGUGAAAUUGAACUCGCUGUGAAGAUGCAGUGUACCCGCGGCAAGACGGAAAGACCCCGUGAACCUUUACUAUAGCUUGACACUGAACAUUGAGCCUUGAUGUGUAGGAUAGGUGGGAGGCUUUGAAGUGUGGACGCCAGUCUGCAUGGAGCCGACCUUGAAAUACCACCCUUUAAUGUUUGAUGUUCUAACGUGGACCCGUGAUCCGGGUUGCGGACAGUGUCUGGUGGGUAGUUUGACUGGGGCGGUCUCCUCCUAAAGAGUAACGGAGGAGCACGAAGGUUGGCUAAUCCUGGUCGGACAUCAGGAGGUUAGUGCAAUGGCAUAAGCCAGCUUGACUGCGAGCGUGACGGCGCGAGCAGGUGCGAAAGCAGGUCAUAGUGAUCCGGUGGUUCUGAAUGGAAGGGCCAUCGCUCAACGGAUAAAAGGUACUCCGGGGAUAACAGGCUGAUACCGCCCAAGAGUUCAUAUCGACGGCGGUGUUUGGCACCUCGAUGUCGGCUCAUCACAUCCUGGGGCUGAAGUAGGUCCCAAGGGUAUGGCUGUUCGCCAUUUAAAGUGGUACGCGAGCUGGGUUUAGAACGUCGUGAGACAGUUCGGUCCCUAUCUGCCGUGGGCGCUGGAGAACUGAGGGGGGCUGCUCCUAGUACGAGAGGACCGGAGUGGACGCAUCACUGGUGUUCGGGUUGUCAUGCCAAUGGCACUGCCCGGUAGCUAAAUGCGGAAGAGAUAAGUGCUGAAAGCAUCUAAGCACGAAACUUGCCCCGAGAUGAGUUCUCCCUGACUCCUUGAGAGUCCUGAAGGAACGUUGAAGACGACGACGUUGAUAGGCCGGGUGUGUAAGCGCAGCGAUGCGUUGAGCUAACCGGUACUAAUGAACCGUGAGGCUUAACC